Epinephelus moara (kelp grouper) is the source of this 5307-nucleotide long non-coding RNA. RefSeq lists it as uncharacterized. The record is from RefSeq and is a predicted model, not a curated record. Lineage: Eukaryota; Metazoa; Chordata; Actinopteri; Perciformes; Serranidae. The transcript has 3 exons.
GCAGAGAGGAGCGCGGAGGUGAAAUAGUGAAGUUUAAGGAUGCCUUCAGUAUGUUGUUAAUGUGAUUUUAUGGGCAAUUUAUCAGUCGAGGUCUCCUCCUCUGCAAAGCAAACUGACCCGGUGGCUACAGGUAAUAGCGCAGUUUUGAAGCCACUGUUUUUCCGAGAUGAAGGACUGAUUGUUGAGCUGCUGUUAACAGUUAACUAAAUUAACUAAUUUGCAUAUUGUGGCGUCACUAGGUGGUGGCCAUAUUGGAUUUCAUAAAUCUCAGUAAAACAGCAUUUUGAACGUAUUUACACAGUAGAUUUCUUUUGUUUUGUGCUGUUUUUGUCAUCUCAUCCUCAAAAUAAAGGAACAGGAAUCUGAUGGGAGUAAAUUAACUCAUCUAAUUUGCAUAUUGUGGCAUCACUAGGCGGCGGCCAUAUUGGAUUUCAUAAAUCUCAGUAAAACAUCCAAAGAUUCAAAUCAUUCAAACUUUAUUUUAUUAAAGGCAGCUAUUCAGUGUGGCGUCAGCUUUUCAACAAACUUUCAAACAUUCAAAUCAUUCAAACUUUAUUGUAUUCUAGGCAGCACUGCAGCGUGGCUUCAGCUUGCAGCAUUCACACGCGCAAUUUCUUCAGAAAUUGCUUCUCUAGUUACAUUAUGAACUUUUAUUACAUUUAAGUAUUAUGAGCCGUUAUUAUUAGCCAUUAUUACAUUAUGAGUUGCUACAUAACACCUCGAAGGGCACUAUCAUUAUUUUAAAUCUACUAACGGUACAGAAAAGUGCUAACAUAAAAAUAGGAAUGUGUAGUACUGUAGCGUUACACCACAUGUGAAUGACUGUAGCCUAGGCUGACCAAACGUCCUCUUUUGCCCGGACAUGUCCACUUUUGACAUCUUGUCCGGGGCGUGCGGGGGGUGUUUAUAAAUUGAUGAUAAUGUCCGGUUUUCCUUGUGUGUGUGUGUGUGUGUGUGUGUGUGUUAGAGUGCGGCACGGGCUGCAUAUUUCUGUCCAAACCCGUCCGAACCCGACAGUCAUUCUGUUUUGUUAUGUCCGAAACCGAACCGAGCUUUGGAUUCCUCCACACCAUCCAAUGUGAGGUGCCUCUUUAUGAGGCUGGACAAGAUUGAAAAUUCUAUCUCCAACAUUGUGUCCAUUUUAAUGAAAGAUAUGAGAUCUGAAGACCCUGAGAUUGAAGAGCUUUCCAGGCCACUAAACACUACAGAAGAACUUGAAGAAGCUUGUGAAAAGCUAAGUGACGCUGCUUACAUAAAGAAAGUGGUAUGUGCAAUGUUGCUGUGUGUGCAAAACAGCCACUUCGUAGUGAAUAUAGAUGUGAACAAUUUUUUGAAGUUGCAUUUCAUGAUUUAUGUACUUUAAAGUCUUGAAGCACUCUGAUUUUCAGUGAAUAAUAACCACUUGCAUUUAUUUUGGAUUUGGCUAUACUGUACAAUAAUUAGUGAUGGGUAUUGUUAGGGCUGGACGAUUAAUCGAAUUUUAAUCAUGAUUUCGAUUUUGGCUUCUCACGAUCAUAAAAACAUUAUAAUCGAAGAAAAACGAUUAACGCGCCGCGUGGCGUGUAUGUAAGUGAAUGCACCUGUGUUAUGUGCAGCAGCAGCAAGCGUGUGACGUGUGUGGAUCAAUAAUAUGUGGAGCGAGCGAUUGAGAACAUGGCAGAAAGGUAGGACAACUUCAGUCAUCUGUCAUUGUCACGCUGUCGUGUCUGCCCCCCAAGACAACACGAGCGGGAAAAAAAAAGUCCAAAAAAGUUAAUAACUUACAAAUUAUGGCGAAAAGGUGGUUUCUUGCAACCCUAGAAUUAAGAUAAAAAUAUUCACAAACAAAAAAACACUUCUGGUUGCUGAUAAGUAGUGUUUAACUUUUGAUUUAACACUAAAAAUUAAAACCCUCGGUGCGCACAGCAGCGCAAGCAGACGGAUGCGCGACUCAGAGCAGCAUGUGUCACUGACACCAGACUGGUGGAAAAUGUCACCAUCAGCAUAUUAUUUUACAUCAAUAAAAUCUAUUUUAUCGUUAUUUUGAGUCACACUGUUGAAAGAAUUUAGCUGUCUGUGUUCAAGCAAGAUAAUAGGUCUCCAUCAAGCCCCAACCUCCGGGGGAGACGAGUGAGGCCAAUGCGGAAGUGCCAAAAACUGCAGUUCACUGACUGUCCACUUGAGGCUGGCUCCGGAAGUGAGUCAAUUCCCAUAGACCCCCAUGUUAAAAUGCCCAGCUUUAGAGCAGCCUGGUACAAAAAAUGGUUUUGGUCUGUAUAGUUAAUUUCCCCUUUCAUGACAACUGAAAUAUUUAAAUGUUAUUAAGGUUUGAAAUUGCGCAUAAUUAAGGGCGUGGUCACUUUGAGUGACAGGUCGCACCAUCACGGGUGGCUAACUAGCAUGCUAACUAGCCGCUGGCUUCGCUGCGCUGAGCUCGGCGUAGCUGAGCUCAGACUCGGCCGUCUGCUCGGCGUCAUCUCAACCAAUUCGUGCCCAUGUUCAAGGCAUUGAACCUGUCCUCUCAGCCGUGUUUGUGCCUUUUGGAUAUUUUUUCAGGCAAAUAUUGGAGUAAUAUGGCUUGCUGUUCGAUUAAUUAUACCAACAGACCGUCCAAGAAGUCUGUGCUCCAGGUUUUUCGUUUUCCUCUAGGUGACCCAGACAGACUGGACCAGUGGACACUCAACACGAGGAGACAGAACUGGACUCCAAACAAGACUUCCCGUCUGUGCAAUGAACACUUUGAGAGUCAUCACUUCAGCACUGACUCCAGGAUAAAGACACCUUUUUUCAUACAGUACCUCACAAAGAGUCAAGAAACUUAUUAGUUUAAAAUGAUGAAUUAUUGUCCAUAAUACAUUUUAAAUGCAUUACAUAAAUUACUAAUUGUCAUACAUUACUAAGUACUCAAUUAGGGCACAGCUUCCUCUGUACUAUUACUGAUAAGGUGAAAUUACUGACACGCCAGUGCAGUUUAGUGUUCCCCUGAUGCAAAAGGCCAAAUGAAGAUUUUAUCAAUCAAGGAACAUGACAUGUAUUUACCAACUUUAACAUUUUAGUGCCUUUUAUGCAAAGACCCUUUAUCAAAGUGAGAAUUGCUACCUUUUCCCCCACACACAGUCUGUGAAGAACCAAUGGAAAAAAUAUUCUCAUGAGACAGCCGAACAUAGCAUGAUUCCACAGUGGCAGUGAGCUUUGAUAACAGUUCAGUUUCCUUUUGAUAGCAACAAUUAUUUUAAUGUGAAUGAAUUGCAUGUUGUACAUUCAUACUCCAGUUGUUUUGAGAGUACAGUUAAAUUUAAAAUCACAUUCAAAUAUAAAGUCAAAUAUCUACAGAACUUAAACACAAAACUAUUUUAUGAAUGACAGCCACUUACUCAGCAAUAAGAUCAUUUUGGUGGUGAGUGGGCUUUUAACCAAGACAGGCUGUAGUCAAUGUUUUCUACCUGUGUUUUUAACCUGUCAUCUUUUUCUCUUGUAGGACACUUGAGGAAAGUUACAACGCCUCGACCAAUUUGAUGUUUGCUCCACAGUAAAGAGGUUGUUUCACAAGAAAUUAAGAUUUUGCAAAUUAUGACACUGGGUCCUAAUCCAUAGGUUUUAUAAUUACUGUUAUAAGUCUUUUCAUUUAUUUCAUGUGUACUUUUUUUUAACCUUUUAAUAGUGAUGAUUUCAUGAAUGCAAGCUUUGACUUAAUUUUGUUAAACUGUUUGUGUAAUGGUUAUAACUUUUGCUAUAUAAAAUGGAUCAGACAAAAUUUACUUCAGAGUAAAAGCAAAUUUUUUGAAAGCUGUCAUUCAUCAGUUUCCUGUGAUGAUUGGAAAUAUAGUGGUGAUUUAAACCAUUAACAAAAUAUAAUCGUUAUUAAUGGAAUCUUAAUGUUUUCAUUUAUGUCUUAACAUUUACCCAAGUUUGCAUUUAUCUUAGCAGAAUGUAAAAAAAAAAUGAAAAGCUGAUGUUAUGUGCUGGUUUUGUUUGAACAUUUCUUUAAGACAAAUGAAGAAAAUUUCACUGAGAAACUAUUCUCCUUUUGUGAAAAACAAGGAAAUAUUUGCACACUGAAUAGUUUUAAGUCCCGUAGGAGGUAUUAUUUAUUUGUGACGUUGUGACAUAUGAGAAGGUUCUGUGGGUAUUGCUCGGUAUUGAGGCUUAUAUAGUGAGGCUAAAAAAAACAACACAUAAUUGGCUGAUUAUCUUUCUGUUUGCCUCACUAUGAAAACUUCACGAUACCUUUGCCUGAGGAAGACCCUCUCAGAGUUGGCAACAUAGUGAACAAGUGAUACCUCCUUGGGGGCUUCAAAACUAUUGUGUCCAGCUAAUUCUUUGUUUUUCACUUUGAGCCCUUUUAUCCAGUCACAUUCUUCUGUGUUAAAACUAGACUUCUAACAGAGCAGCAAACAAAGGUUACUCUCCAAAAUCUUCUCAGGCUCUGCUGCUGGGUGUAAGGUGCUUAGUUAUCUUCAAGUACAAAGUUAAAAUAAUCAGGCCCACACAGAAAUGGACUGCUUAAUUUUUUGUCAGUGACAAUGUUAAACAUUAAUGCUUAAUGUUUUAUCUGUAGUGUAUGAUUUGUUUGUCCUUUCAAUUGACAGUCAGAUUUGAUUGUGAAAUACAACAUUCAGUCAGUAACAAAGACAAAAGGAGUGCAAAUAUAAAUAGAAUUUAUUGAAAUUUUAAACAAGUUAUAGAUGAAUAUCAAAAACUCAACAUUAGCCAUGACAGCCUGGGCUAUGUUCAGGCCUAACAAAAUGUGUCCUAAAGGCCAAAUUCAAAAGCAGUGACACUGCCAACUGUAAGCAGUUCACUGCGUUUGGAGGUGGUCUUUAAGACAAUUAACUAAUUUACUUAAAAACAUAUAAUUUCUCCUAGGUGUGAGAUGAAUGUGUCUGAUGUGAGGGUGCUCAAUUAUGGCACCAUUUAAACUAUGAACAAAUGUAGCCAUAACACUGUAAACACAUUUCCUGGCCUUAUCAAUCUUUGCUGGAUUGCCACCAGCCUCCCACCUGCACCUUUGGGCCAAUGAAGAAAAUAUUAUCUUAAUGCCAGGAUGCUGGAGGUGAAGCUGGUGCAGGUCCUCCUUCAUCAUGCUGACCAGCUUGGCACUGCUGACCUUCCCCAUGUCAUUGCCGCCACAGUGGGUGAUGAGGACAUCUGGUGCUGCUCUUCCUCGCAGGGAGUGGGAAAAGAAGGAGAGAAGGCCUCCCCACUGCAGUCCACCCCAGCCAAACCAGCAGACAUGGACGCCCGGCAUGCUGAGGGUGCUUCCCAAGGUCUCUGCAGCUCUCUGGACACUACACCGGACAUAGCUGUCACCAAUGAUCCACACUAUGC